AAUUUAUAACGAAGAGGUAAGAGACAGGCUCUAUGAUCCUCUGGCAACCUGAUUCAAGGUGCCAAAUCCUGCCCGAACAGGGAAAUAUAAAUA
This 93-nucleotide non-coding RNA is filed under the name Marivirga sericea. RNAcentral describes it as "SAM-I sequence". It matches the Rfam family "SAM riboswitch aptamer (S box leader)". Rfam says of the family: The SAM riboswitch is found upstream of a number of genes which code for proteins involved in methionine or cysteine biosynthesis in Gram-positive bacteria. The SAM riboswitch acts at the level of transcription termination control. The record is from RNAcentral. Lineage: Bacteria; Pseudomonadati; Bacteroidota; Cytophagia; Cytophagales; Marivirgaceae.